Small nuclear RNA from Puma concolor (puma), 106 nucleotides. NCBI's taxonomy places the organism in Eukaryota, Metazoa, Chordata, Mammalia, Carnivora, Felidae. The record is from RefSeq and is a predicted model, not a curated record.
GUGCUCACUUCAGCAGCAAAUAUACUAAAAUUGGAAUGAUACAGAGAAGAUUAGCAUGGCCCUGCAUAAGAUGACACCCACACUUUAUCAAUCCUAUCAUCCUUUU